Molecule: ribosomal RNA, 253 nt
Filed under: uncultured bacterium
Lineage: Bacteria
Description: partial 16S ribosomal RNA
Rfam family: Bacterial small subunit ribosomal RNA
Source: RNAcentral
UACGUAGGGGGCAAGCGUUGUCCGGAUUUAUUGGGCGUAAAGAGCGUGUAGGCGGCCAUACAGGUCAGCUGUGAAAACUCGAGGCUCAACCUCGAGACGUCGGUUGAAACCGUAUGGCUAGAGUCCUGGAGAGGAAGGUGGAAUGCUUGGUGUAGAGGUGAAAUUCGUAGAUAUCAAGCGGAACACCGGUGGCGAAGGCGGCCUUCUGGACAGUGACUGACGCUGAGACGCGAAAGCGUGGGGAGCAAACAGG